AACGAACGCUGGCGGCAGGCCUAACACAUGCAAGUCGAACGCCGUAGCAAGUACGGAGUGGCAGACGGGUGAGUAACACGUGGGAACAUACCCUUCGGUUCGGAAUAACUCAGGGAAACUUGAGCUAAUACCGGAUACGUCCGCGAGGAGAAAGAUUCAUCGCCGGAGGAUUGGCCCGGCGUCUGAUUAGCUUGUUGGUGAGGUAACGGCUCACCAAGGCGACGAUCAGUAGCUGGCUGAGAGGAUGAUCAGCCACAUU
This 259-nucleotide ribosomal RNA is filed under the name uncultured bacterium. RNAcentral's name for it is "partial 16S ribosomal RNA". It matches the Rfam family "Bacterial small subunit ribosomal RNA", at positions 29 to 314 of the family's 1533-position model. The record is from RNAcentral.